GCCGGUGUACUCUUAACUGGUAAAGCGGCAUAAACCCCCAGGGGUCAUAUGUUUAUGCGGGUUCGACCCCCGUCACCGGCU
RNAcentral lists this transfer RNA (81 nucleotides) under Escherichia coli. Its description in RNAcentral is "tRNA-OTHER". It matches the Rfam family "tRNA". Rfam says of the family: Transfer RNA (tRNA) molecules are approximately 80 nucleotides in length. Lineage: Bacteria; Pseudomonadati; Pseudomonadota; Gammaproteobacteria; Enterobacterales; Enterobacteriaceae. The record is from RNAcentral.